CGGAUUGGCAUGGGCGAAAGCCUGAUGCAGCAACGCCGCGUGAGCGAUGAAGGCCUUCGGGUCGUAAAGCUCUGUCCUCAAGGAAGAUAAUGACGGUACUUGAGGAGGAAGCCCCGGCUAACUACGUGCCAGCAGCCGCGGUAAUACGUAGGGGGCUAGCGUUAUCCGGAAUUACUGGGCGUAAAGGGUGCGUAGGCGGUCUUUCAAGCCAGAAGUGAAAGGCUACGGCUCAACCGUAGUAAGCUUUUGGAACUGUAAGACUUGAGUGCAGGAGAGGAGAGUGAAAUUCCUAGUGUAGCGGUGAAAUGCGUAGAUAUUAGGAGGAACACCAGUAGCGAAGGCGGCUCUCUGGACUGUAACUGACGCUGAGGCACGAAAGCGUGGGGAGCAAACAGGAUUAGAUACCCUG
This 409-nucleotide ribosomal RNA is filed under the name uncultured bacterium. RNAcentral's name for it is "bacterial SSU rRNA". It matches the Rfam family "Bacterial small subunit ribosomal RNA", at positions 358 to 789 of the family's 1533-position model. The record is from RNAcentral.